UUUGUUGCUGCUUCUAAUUCUGAUGGUAAUGGAAAUGCCUCGGGUAUUGUACCACGUGCAACAUGGACUGGUUCAACCAGUCUCUUGGGAAGCGGCAUCUUGACACUUUUCUGAUGAUUGAUCUUUGACCCUAUCUAUUUCGAUCAGUGCUUGUUAUGGUGUGUGGUGUUACUAGUGGUGAUCAUCGACAGGCUUUCUCUGAUCAAGGCCAAAUCGAAAUGUUUUUUUUUUUCAUUUUUUAAAUGAAUGAAAAUUAUGGAAAAAUACAAACAACAUUGAGUAUACAUAUUCUCACGACAGUAAAAGUUACGAGUACGUGUACUAUUAUGAUCAUCAAGAGCCCUACUCUAAUUAGCAUUUUUAUUACAAGUCAGUCAGGAGAGACAAUGUCGUGCCUGACUUGGAAAUUAUUGAUCAAGCUGAGAGUAAGCUUGGCAGGCGCACUGGAAAACAACCCCCUCGGUAUUUAUGACUCACUAGACAUGAAAAAUAAAAAUAAAAAAACCAGGAUAUUAUACACCAUGAUCUUGUCUAUCAAAAAAAUCAGAUAAUAAAACUAGGUUGACUAACAGGAUCAAUUGAUACAAAUAAUCAAGAAUAAUUUUUUGUUCAAGUCUACUGUGUGUGAACAUAGUGACCGCACAAACCAUUCACCAGUUCUAUGUAACACACAAGUUAAAAAUAAUAUUAAAAAAAAAAAAAUUAUCUGUAUUAAAUCAAGUUCAAUACACGAUGAACUUGUUUGUACAAUUUUUUUUUUUUUUUCUUCUUUAACGUCACGCAACUAUGGAUCAAUGAUUACAGUCGAAAAGAAAAAAUGAUAAAUGUACACGUGUGUUUUUUUUUUUCAAACAAAAACAAUUUAACUGUUAGUUUAUAUUAUUUUUUAUUCUAAAAUAGAUGUAUAUCUAUUUGGAUAUUAUUUGUUAAAAAUAAUACCAUGUGUUUUGGUGUAAACUAUAUGAUUUGUUUGCUUUUUUUUAUGAAUAUUAUUUAUCAUAUUUAAAUACUGCUGUUGAUCAGUUUAUAAAAAGAAAUUAGAAUAUUAUAUAUAGACAAUAAUAAUGAAAUGUAUCUAGCAGCCGGAAAUACAAAAUGUUGAAUGAAAAAAAUUACAUGAAUUCAGUGGGCAAGUGUCGAGUAACAUUCGUCAUGGUGUUGCAAAAAGCCGUCGACCUCGAAGGUAAUAUAAAUUUGUCUUGGAAAAAAAAAAAUAAAUAAAAUAAAAACAAAGUAACACGCAGGAUAGUGUAUAUAUAUAAAACUUUAUAUUGUCGUGAAAAAAGAAAAACUAGUUUACGUUUGAAUUAAUUCUUCAUCAAGUGUGUCACCAUCAUCAUCAUCAUAAACUUCGAGGCCUUAUUUUAAAGAAAAUUUUUCCAUUUUUUUUAACAUUAACAAAACAAUGCAUUUGCAACUGUUUCUUUUUUAAUAUCUAUUCUAAAAAAAAAAAUAAUUACAUGCAUAGAUAUUUUUUUUAUAUUAAUUGAAUAGAAAAAACAGUGUCUAUAAGAUAUUGUUUCUAAUGAUCCAUGAUAAAAUUACUUAAUAUAUUAUUUAAAAAUAAAUAUCAUUGUAUUAAUGGUAAUUUAAAACCAUAACCGGAUAAUUUUAUUUAUUAAACAAUGUUGUCUGUAGACACACCUUAUUAAUCGAUAAUAAUAAAAAAAUUUAUGCAUGUGUGGGGAGAGACUAUACUAAGUAUUAACAUUGAUGAUGAUGAUGAUGAAAUAUAAAAUGUCAUCAAUAC
Aphidius gifuensis is the source of this 1750-nucleotide long non-coding RNA. RefSeq lists it as uncharacterized. NCBI's taxonomy places the organism in Eukaryota, Metazoa, Arthropoda, Insecta, Hymenoptera, Braconidae. The transcript is spliced from 5 exons. The record is from RefSeq and is a predicted model, not a curated record.